RNAcentral lists this non-coding RNA (147 nucleotides) under Nomascus leucogenys (northern white-cheeked gibbon). Lineage: Eukaryota; Metazoa; Chordata; Mammalia; Primates; Hylobatidae. The record is from Rfam by way of RNAcentral.
GCUGGGCGUGGUGGCGGGCGCCUGUAGUCCAAGCUACCGGGGGGCUGAGGUGGAAGGAUUGCUUGAGCCCAGGAGGCAGAGAUUGCAGUGAGCUGAGAUCACACCACUGCACUCCAGCCUGGGCAGCAGAGCAAGAUUCUGUCUCGA